GGGGGUGUAGCUCAUACGGUAGAGCGCUCGCUAGUCGCUUCGCAUGCGAGAGGCACGGGGUUCGAUUCCCCGCAUCUCCA
Non-coding RNA from Rhododendron molle, 80 nucleotides. NCBI's taxonomy places the organism in Eukaryota, Viridiplantae, Streptophyta, Magnoliopsida, Ericales, Ericaceae. The record is from the annotation of a GenBank genome assembly.